Non-coding RNA from Clostridiales bacterium, 206 nucleotides. The record is from Rfam. NCBI's taxonomy places the organism in Bacteria, Bacillati, Bacillota, Clostridia, Eubacteriales.
UCAAUGACCACGAAAAGGACAUGACCGUCAUUGCCAGGUAACUCAAGAGAAGAGCGUCACGGCUGCAAGCGCUCGUUACCACAGUGAUUGUUACCGCCUUGGAGUCGCCGUUCGGAAAUGAACGGCCGGGCAGACCCGUUAUCACGAUCGAGAGAAUCCGUACGGAUUAACUUGGGUGGAACCGCGAAUUAACUUUCGUCCCAUUU